This 478-nucleotide ribosomal RNA is filed under the name uncultured bacterium. RNAcentral's name for it is "partial 16S ribosomal RNA". It matches the Rfam family "Bacterial small subunit ribosomal RNA", at positions 28 to 523 of the family's 1533-position model. The record is from RNAcentral.
GACGAACGCUGGCGGCGUGCUUAACACAUGCAAGUCGAACGGUAAGGCCCUUCGGGGUACACGAGUGGCGAACGGGCGAGUAACACGUGGGUGAUCUGCCCUGCCCUUCGGGAGAAGCCGGGGGAACUGGGUCUAAUACCGGAUAGGACUCCCGCCGGCAUGGGCUGGGGUGGACGGCUUUUGCGGUGUGGGAUGGGCCCGCGGCCUAUAAGCUUGUUGGUGGGGGGAUGGCCUACCAAGGCGACGACGGGUAGCCGGGCUGAGCGGGUGACCGGCCACACUGGGACUGAGAUACGGCCUAGACUCCUACGGGAGGCAGCAGUGGGGAAUAUUGCACAAUGGGCGCAAACCUGAUGCUGCGACGCCGCGUGAGGGAUGACGGCCUUCGGGUUGUAAACCUCUUUCAGCAUCGACGAAGCGAAAGUGACGGUAGGUGCAGAAGAAGGACCGGCCAACUACGUGCCAGCCGCCGCAGUAA